GACCAAGAGAUUAAGUUAUGUGUUUAGGUUAAAAAGAUAGUUAAACAAAAUAAUUAAUAUAAUAAUUUUUUAUUGAAAGGUAAAAUUUGAAUAUGAAAAAUUAAUUUUAUUUAUAUUUAAAUGUUGAAUCUAUGAUAAUUAUGAGGGAAACUGGGAUUAGAUACCCCAUUAUUCAUUAUUUUAAAUAGAACGUGAUUUACCUGAGUACUAUGAAUUUAAGAUUUAAAACUCAAAGGGCUUGGCGGUGUUUUAGACCUAUUAGGGGAACCUGUCUCGUAAUCGACAAUCCACGAUAUACCUGGCCUUUUUUUGUAUUCAGUUUGUAUACCGUCGUCGUCAGGUAACUUUUAAAAAUAAAGAAGUUGGCAUAAAUAAUAAUGUAAAUUAAGACGUCAGAUCAAGGUGCAGCUUAUAAAAAGGAGAGGAUGGGUUACAAUUAUAAAAUAGUAAAUAUGGAUAGUUUAAUGAAAAAAGCUUAAAGGCGGACUUAAAAGUAAUUAUGUAAUAUAUAAAUAUUUUGAAUUAGGCUCUGAAACGUGC
RNAcentral lists this ribosomal RNA (540 nucleotides) under Zafra pumila. RNAcentral describes it as "partial small subunit ribosomal RNA". Lineage: Eukaryota; Metazoa; Mollusca; Gastropoda; Neogastropoda; Columbellidae. The record is from RNAcentral.